CAGUAGCCGCGGUAACACGAAGGGGGCUAGCGUUGCUCGGAAUGACUGGGCGUAAAGGGCGCGUAGGCGGAUUGUUUAGUUAGGCGUGAAAUUCCUGGGCUUAACCUGGGGACUGCGCUUAAUACAGGCAGUCUAGAGUGAGGAAGAGGGUUGUGGAAUUCCCAGUGUAGAGGUGAAAUUCGUAGAUAUUGGGAAGAACACCGGUGGCGAAGGCGGCAACCUGGUCCUUGACUGACGCUGAGGCGCGAAAGCGUGGGGAGCAAACAGGAUUAGAUACCCGGGUAGUCCCUGUCUCUUAUAC
Molecule: ribosomal RNA, 301 nt
Filed under: uncultured bacterium
Lineage: Bacteria
Description: partial 16S ribosomal RNA
Rfam family: Bacterial small subunit ribosomal RNA
Source: RNAcentral